UUUGAUGUGACUGAACUCGAAAUUUAAUGUUCGAGCUGCCUACGUACCCUUCCAAGGAAAAGAUCAAGUCAAAACGUAGUUCAAAUGCAUUUUUUUUUUUUGAUGAUUUUGCCGUACACAAUUUAUGCUCUUGCGGGCCAGGAGCUUUGGCUGUCGCCUUUUAGGGGUAGUAGCGCUUCAAGAAUCUUCCAUUGAUAGGACCAAUCUUCAAGCCGUCUUCUGCCAUGAUUAAGUAGGCGCCG
Molecule: long non-coding RNA, 242 nt
Filed under: Malus domestica (apple)
Lineage: Eukaryota; Viridiplantae; Streptophyta; Magnoliopsida; Rosales; Rosaceae
Description: long non-coding RNA (MDOM_LNC008730)
Source: RNAcentral